UACGUAGGGUGCGAGCGUUGUCCGGAAUUAUUGGGCGUAAAGAGCUCGUAGGCGGUGUGUCACGUCGGCCGUGAAAACCUGCAGCUUAACUGUGGGCGUGCGGUCGAUACGGGCAUCACUGGAGUUCGGCAGGGGAGACUGGAAUUCCUGGUGUAGCGGUGAAAUGCGCAGAUAUCAGGCAGGAACACCGAUGGCGAAGGCAGCCCCCUGG
RNAcentral lists this ribosomal RNA (211 nucleotides) under uncultured bacterium. RNAcentral describes it as "partial 16S ribosomal RNA". It matches the Rfam family "Bacterial small subunit ribosomal RNA", at positions 524 to 732 of the family's 1533-position model. The record is from RNAcentral.